UACGGAGGGGGCUAGCGUUGCUCGGAAUCACUGGGCGUAAAGCGCACGUAGGCGGCUUUCUAAGUCAGGGGUGAAAUCCUGGAGCUCAACUCCAGAACUGCCUUUGAUACUGGGAAGCUCGAGUCCGGGAGAGGUGAGUGGAACUCCGAGUGUAGAGGUGAAAUUCGUAGAUAUUCGGAAGAACACCAGUGGCGAAGGCGGCUCACUGGCCCGGUACUGACGCUGAGGUGCGAAAGCGUGGGGAGCAAACAGG
This 253-nucleotide ribosomal RNA is filed under the name uncultured bacterium. RNAcentral describes it as "partial 16S ribosomal RNA". It matches the Rfam family "Bacterial small subunit ribosomal RNA", at positions 524 to 776 of the family's 1533-position model. The record is from RNAcentral.